Molecule: long non-coding RNA, 6613 nt
Filed under: Olea europaea (common olive)
Lineage: Eukaryota; Viridiplantae; Streptophyta; Magnoliopsida; Lamiales; Oleaceae
Description: long non-coding RNA (OEUR_LNC011446)
Source: RNAcentral
CAACAAACGUACCGAGCGAAAUCCAUUACUAGAAGGUGCCAAUCAAUAUAGUCCAUCGAGGCUUGUCAGCUUCUUGCAAGGUAAAAUGUAUGAUCGUUCAAUUUAUAUGCCUGGAAAUGCUUAUUCUUGAUUUGUAUACUGAAUUAUUUUAGGCCUUUGAUUUUUGUAGCAUAAUUAUUUGUUUCUGUCAUUCUAUGUGCAUUCCCUGCUGAAUUAUGUUGCUAGCAUUGAAGAAUUGUCUCAAAAUAAGUAAAAUAAGUUUGGGACUCACUGAAGUAGUAAUUUUUGAAGAACUCAAUUCCAUUAACAUAUUCAACAAAGGAGCUCCCUAGUACGAGGAUAAAUAUGGUAAUAACCCAGUGGAGUCUUAAGGUAAAAGAAAAGGAAACACAAUAUUUAAGACGAAGGAAACUACUCUCAAAGUAUAGGGCCUCAACAUAAUCCGUCGCUUAGGGUCACCAUAUUCUCAGGGCCGGCUCUGCCAGAUAGUUGAUAUUUUAGAACAAAAUAAAAAUGAUUGUCAAUUUAAUUGGACAAUUCUUUUAGAAUUAGCAUGAGGAAUUAAAAAACUGUAAGUAACGUACAAAAGAUAAUUAGAUCUAGAAGUUCGAAAAGUAAUUUAUUUGGAUACAUUCACCGACUAAAGAGAUCAGCAAUAUCUCACACACUAGUUUUAAAUGCUCCAACUUGAAUUAACGUCUAAGAAAACAAUUACUUGAUAUAAUAUUUGAUAAAUUUAAGGUACGCUUGAAGCGUGAUAAUAUUCUAUUCUAAUACAAAAAUUUCCAAACAAAAAUGGAGCAAUUAGCAAAGUUGGCUCCGUUAAGGAGGUAUAUAUUCUUGACAAGUAUUUAAACAUAACAAAUUAUCAAACGCCAAAAGAGGUUUAGUAUGUUGAAAAUUGAGAUAUUUAUAUAAGUUAUUUCGUUAUGCAAAAUAAUUGAAUCGAAAAAAAAGUUGUCGAUAAUACUUUUGCACAUUAUGUACUGCGUCAUAUUAUGAAUAGCGAUGAAUGGAAAUAAAUUCGUCGAAACAUAUCGAUCAAAGUAAUUAUUGGACAAAUAAAAUGAUGCAAUCAUACUAAAAUUGAAUUUGCUAGAAAAAGCUAAAAUUUCUGAAUCUACAAUCUAACACCUAAAGUUGUAUACUUAUGCCGAAUGAAAAUGGAAAAACUAAAGUUGUAAUAUCAAACGUACAACACUUUACAUAAUGAAUUUUCGUGAAGACUUGUAGAAAUAGAUAAGUUAUCAUGUGAUGUAUAUAAUUUUAAGUGUCUGCCUUGUUAGCACGACAAUAUAUGGAAUUUGAUAUGCAUAUGAUAAAUUUGAUUAUAGUUGUAUACUUAUGUGGAAUGAAUAUGAAAAAAGUAAAGUCGAAAUAUUAAAUGUACAACCCUUUACAUAAUGAAUUUCGUAAAAACUUGUAUAAAUAGAUAAAUUAUCAUGUGGUGGAUAUAAUUGCAAGUGUCUACCUUGUUAGGGUGACAAUGCAUAGAAUUUGAUAUGCAUAUGAUAGAUGCGAUUAUGGUUAACUUAUCUUAAUAUAAAUUUAAUAUUAUCAUUGAAGAAUUUUAUAUCUGAAGCAUAAAAUUCAAGUUAAUGAAAUGUAUGGUCGAAAAGUUGUGGAUUUAUAAAAUAUGUGAUUAAAAUGGAAUUUUGACUUUGACUUAAAUUAGAAUCUAAAUUUUAAUUGGCACCCGAUAGAAGCAAAAUCAUUAACAUAAUCUGUCACAGUUAUUAAUCUCAUAUUUUUUUAUAAAAAAAAAAAAUGGCAGAUAUCGUCAUUUUUAUAUAUAUCCUUCAACAAAUAUUCGUCAAAGCAAUUAUACCACAUAAGUUCGGAUUCUUUAAAUUGUAUAAUGAUCUUUACAACUUAAUUUAAACGUAAUUCUAGAGCAUAUAUCAUUUGUUUCAGACACUUUUAAGUCUUUUGAGGAUUUUCAUGUAUAUGUCACUAUCGAGUGAAUAUAGAUAAGUAAUUACUACAUUCAUUAUGUUAUGUCGAGUUAUUAUAAAACAUGAAAAUUAUUCAAUCAUUAAAGUGGAACGCCGUCCGCCACAUGAAAAUAUUUUUCCUCACUUUAAAAUCCUUUAGAGAUUUUCUAACAAAAAGAUUAUUUGCAUCCUACAAGGAUUAUAUUUAAAGCGAUCGAACCACAAGUCUAAACAUUUUUCUUUACCCAUAAAUUUAAUUUUGCCUUUGGAGCUUCUUUUUGUUUUUGGCCAAUAAUUUCGAUAUCGCAUUUUUUGAUGGACGUUGCUUUAAUAUCCUCAUUAUGACCAAUAAGUAUAGAGUGCUACAAAAAUUGUCUACAAAUAGUUAUCUUUGAUUCCAUUCGUUUCCUAUAGUAACAUAACUUUAUUGUGAUUUUUUUGUUUCACAAAUUUCAGGUAUCUGAACUACUCUUGGGGUUAUUCAAUUAGCUAUAUUUUAUGAUAUCUUCAAAAUUGUCAUUUUCAAUAGGAUCAUCUUGAUUAUUUUCCCAGUUUUAUUUGGAAAAUUUUUGUCUUUGGAAUUGAUUUUUGGAACAUCCUUCGACACGCUUUAGAUUUAUUCACUUGAUAAUAGUGAUUUGCCCUACUUGUAUAUCUAUUCGAGUUUGAGCAUUUCCAUUGGGUAUAUUUCAGUUAUUCAUUUGACAAUUAAUUUGUUCUUACAUAUUGAUCUUUUGGUUCACAUUGUAUUAUGACGAUAACCACAAUGUAUUUUCCCCCCUUAUUUCAACUAUUUAAUAUCUCCUUUAAUGUUAGGAGACGGUCCUAUAAAUAAUGAUAGUUAACAAAUCGCCUUGUAAAAUAUCAUCCAUAGGAUAUAUUUUAUAUAAAGGGGAAUUCAAACUGGAUGGCCAUUUUCAGCCUGCUUACCAUUAUUUAAAGUUGUAUUUUAUUCAAGAAACAUACUGACAUAAUAUUCUAAUAUUACUCGAAUUGUGAAAUAGUGUUUCUAUAGGAAAAAUACAAUACAAUCUCUUUUGUUUAAGAAUUUAAAAUUUGUUACUAAAAAUUAAAAAUAAUAGUAUGUUCACAAUAAAAAGUCUUAUGUAUAUGAAGAGUUAUAUGUAUUAUACAUCAGUCUCAAGGUAAUAAUAAAAAUUAAUAUAAGGAAGAAAGUAAAGGAUUUUUUAACAUAAUAAUUACUNAAUCAGUUUUUUAUGUGUAAAAUUUUUUUUUCGACGUAGUAGCCCGGUCGUAGAUCCAAUCCUGAAUCUGUCCCUGUCUUCAUGCAAACUUAGAAUUAGGAUGCCAAAUUUGUUUAACCAAAUAAGGAAUAUCAUGUAUAAUAUAAUAUGAAUAAAACAAAACCAUCACAAAUUUUUUAAGAGAGAGAUGCACAUGCAACUGUCCAAAAGAGAAAUCACAUGAUAUUCGUUGUCGUUAUCUCUUGGAAUUUGAUAAAAACAAUGCUUCAAUAACUAACUACACGAUGAAAUAACAGAAAAUGCAAUUGACCUCCGUCAGCUUUCGAUUUACUACAGGCCCAGUCCUGGGGCGCGCCUUAGGCCCAAGAUCAGAGGGGGCCUAAUUUUUUUUUAGAGUACAUUAGGCUCUUUACUCUAUUAAAUUGACCAAAUUGAAUAAUACACUUUUAAAUAAAAUAAAAUACUCACCACGUAAUUUAAACGUCCUAAAAGUCAAAACCCCCAAAUCAGAUCCCCAAUUCCUGUCUAAGAAGACAAACCUCUUUAACAGUUCAAAAGAAAAACUCUCUUUUUCGAUCUCUGCCAUCAGCUCUCUGUCGUCUUCGCCUUAAGUUUUCAACCAUUCUAGUUGUAAACGAAGUGUGACACACUCAGCAAGUGAAACAACAAUAAUUCUCAAGUAAACCUCUCUCUCCUCAUCCGUAUAUAUACACGCAUCUAUAUAUACAUACAUCAAUGUGGCGUAGAGACACUUGCUAUUUUAAUUUUUAACACAUUCUAUAAUUUAACUACUCGUAAUGUUUUUUUAAAAAAAUAAUUGUUGAAUUUCUGAUGAGUUUGAGGGCUUAUAUUCGUGAAUCUGAUAGGCAUUCUUUGAUAUAUUUGUGAAUUAGCCAAAUAUUAUAACCGGCUCUUCAUGAAGCACCCACAAGAAGUAAAAGUGGGGGACUGGGAGGUUAAUAAUUAUCAAUUGAGAGCAUUGUAAUCCCCAUUGUGCUCGUGCAAAGUGCAACAAAUCAGUAAUAUGGUUCCCAUUCGUAGAAAAUGAGACCUCUGCUUUUUGAUUAAAUUGGCAGAGUAACGGAUUCAAGAAUAACAACUUAGCCGAAAGCUGUUUUAAAUGAGUAAGGAUUAUGAACAUAUAGAUGAUGAAGGGCGUAGGUUACCUGUUUCUUUCUGGGACUACUGUUGGAGCAUAGUUGUUUGAAGAGGUAGCAGAUUGGUCUCCAUUAGUUGAUGAAAUUUAAAUGAGGAGCAAAGAGCAUGUUGGCAAUGUGAUUAGGUUUGAAACCUAUAAUGUAAAUAAUUGACACUUAUGAAGUUCUUUUUGAUGAUUUUGCUAUUGUGAUUGGGAAUAUUUUUUAAAAUAACAUUGUUGAACUUAAGAAGAAAUUGAUUGCGUCAAUACAUAUGAAAAAUUAGUCUUGAAUCAAUUAAACUAAUGCAUACAAGGUGUUUGACGAAAGGAAAAUGUGGAAUUUCUAAAAAAAGUCAUACUAUCUUAUUUGAACAAUUAACUAUAUGUAUACGUGUGCAUUUGUAAAAUUUGAACAUACAAAUUCAAGCCUUGUUUUAUGCUAAUACAUAAAAGAUAAUUUUGAAUCAAUUAGAUUGAUACAUGCAAUGUGUUUGCUUAAGGAGAAUGUGAAAAAGUGAUAGAAUGUCACUUUUCUAAAAAAAAAAAAAGUCACAUUAUGUCAACAUUAACUAGAUUUAUAUGUGUGCAAUUAUUUUAUUUUAUUUUAUUUUUUUCCAAAAUUUGAACAUACAAAUUCAAGCCUUAUUUUAUAACUUAUAUUAAUACAUAUAAAAAGGAAAACUUUGAAUCAAUUAAAUUGAUUUAUGUAAGGCGUUUGCUAAAGGAGAAUGUAAAAAAGUGUCACUUUUUUAUUUUUUGCCACUUUUUUGAAUCUAUGUAACUUUUUUUUUAAUUUGUAUUACUUUUUUUAAAUUUCUAUCAUUUUUUUUGAAUUUUUGUCAUUUUUUAUCAAUCGUCUUGAAAUUUCUAUUACUUUUGUAGUGACAAACAUCAUUUUUUAAUAAAAGUCAGAUUGUAUGUCAUUUUUUAAUAAAAAUGUGACACAAUUGUUAAAAUUGAUAAUUUUUAGGAAAACUUUUUAAUUUUAGGUAGUAUUUUUUACUUCCAAAAAAUUUUUCAUAUGAUUUUUUAAAUGAUCUCUAAUUUUAAGGGUAUUUUUGUAAGUUGCCCAAUUUUUUAUUUAUUUAUUAAGAAAGGCUUCAUGGCCUAAACACAAUUGGCAAUUACCUAUGAACAACCCACACAUUUACCCAACCCAACCCAACCCAACCCAACGUAUAUAUCCACAAUCCAUAAUAUCCAUUUACCCAUAACCAAAAUUCCCAGAUCUGAAUCCUAGGGCUUGCUCGACUGCUCUUCAAUCUCAGUCUCACCUCCAUCUCUACGUGAUUUCGUCCGCUGCCGAAUGCUCCAGUCUCUCUCCUCCUCUUUUCCAGUUUCCUUCUUCGCCAGAUGCUGGUUUGCUUCGCCCCUAUUAGUCUAUUUGGUUUUUUUUCUUUUCAAACCUUUUUGUUAGAAUUGGACAACGAAAACCAGAAGUUUGUGAGUGAUUAUACUCAAUGCUUUGGAUUUGUAUUGCUUGAGAGUAAUUUCUUGGCUAUACAAAGCUUUGGAAUUUUAACAAAAAUGUCCGUUGGUGAAGGUUACAGAACAGUGAGUCAGUGACGGCCUUGAUUUGCAAUUAACUAUUGCUUUACUUGCGUGGUUAUUGGUUAACCGUUAACAUGUGGCUGUAUAUUCCAUUGUGGUUUUGUGAUUGGAUUAUGGACAUUAGAAAUUUAAUUGAAUAGAUAUAAAUUUUCAUAAUUUCAAUAUAUUUGUCUUAAUGUACUUACAAUUAUUUAUUAUUAGCCACUUUUAAAUUUCUGAUAAAAAAAAUUACACUUCCUAUAUUGCUAUUUUAGUAAUCAGAUUGUAAAAGCUUUGCCGUUGCAACUCCUUCACUUAGUGAUCUGAUCCAAACAAAGAAAAGUAGACGGCAGAGGCGGAGAGAAACUAAAACGUUUUUUAAAGAAAUUGUGAAAAAAGAGAGAGAGAAAAUGAGUCAGAGAAGAUCCAUAAGUGGAAGGCCAUUGGGAACUGACGGCUCUGAUUUCUCCUACCGCAUGGUCGUCGACUCCAGUGAGAAACAAAUAGGCAGUAAUAAAAUAGAGGAUACCAAUCAGUGCAACAUCAUGAUCAGGGAGGGCUUCGACAAGAUCUAAGUCCGGCAUUUGGCAGGCAGAUAUAAAUGUGGACUUCACAUCUUCAUGUGUUACACUACCUACCUGAGAAAAGUAUUUUGUCUUCAAUUGUGACGGUCUACUUUCAAAAAUACUGAUGUCACUAUUGCCGGAACAUCUCAAUCCCGUGACCAGACAAAACUCAGCUAUAGAAAAUCUUACAUAUCGCUCGGCAACUAAAAACCACAAUUCUUCAGGAUUGGGUUGAUAUAC